GGCGAUCACAGCGUUAAAACCCCAGUUCUCCUACGAUCACAGAAAUUAAGCAAUGUCUAGCCUGGUCAGUACUAGAUGGGUGACCGCUUGGGAAUACCGGGUGCUGUAA
Non-coding RNA from Acanthosepion pharaonis, 109 nucleotides. The record is from the annotation of a GenBank genome assembly. NCBI's taxonomy places the organism in Eukaryota, Metazoa, Mollusca, Cephalopoda, Sepiida, Sepiidae.